RNAcentral lists this ribosomal RNA (742 nucleotides) under uncultured bacterium. RNAcentral describes it as "bacterial SSU rRNA". It matches the Rfam family "Bacterial small subunit ribosomal RNA", at positions 8 to 796 of the family's 1533-position model. The record is from RNAcentral.
AGAGUUUGAUCAUGGCUCAGAACGAACGCUGGCGGCAGGCUUAACACAUGCAAGUCGAACGCAUCCUUCGGGGUGAGUGGCAGACGGGUGAGUAACGCGUGGGAACGUGCCCUUCAGUUCGGGAUAACCCAGGGAAACUUGGGCUAAUACCGGAUACGUGCGAGAGCAGAAAGAUUUAUCGCUGAAGGAUCGGCCCGCGUCUGAUUAGCUAGUUGGUAGGGUAAUGGCCUACCAAGGCGACGAUCAGUAGCUGGUCUGAGAGGAUGAUCAGCCACAUUGGGACUGAGACACGGCCCAAACUCCUACGGGAGGCAGCAGUGGGGAAUAUUGGACAAUGGGCGCAAGCCUGAUCCAGCCAUGCCGCGUGAGUGAUGAAGGCCUUAGGGUUGUAAAGCUCUUUCGUCCGGGACGAUAAUGACGGUACCGGAAGAAGAAGCCCCGGCUAACUUCGUGCCAGCAGCCGCGGUAAUACGAAGGGGGCUAGCGUUGUUCGGAAUCACUGGGCGUAAAGGGCGCGUAGGCGGCUUUGUAAGUCGGGGGUGAAAGCCUGUGGCUCAACCACAGAAUUGCCUUCGAUACUGCAUGGCUUGAGACCGGAAGAGGUAAGUGGAACUGCGAGUGUAGAGGUGAAAUUCGUAGAUAUUCGCAAGAACACCAGUGGCGAAGGCGGCUUACUGGUCCGGUUCUGACGCUGAGGCGCGAAAGCGUGGGGAGCAAACAGGAUUAGAUACCCUAGUAGUCC